RNAcentral lists this ribosomal RNA (2955 nucleotides) under Triticum aestivum (bread wheat). RNAcentral's name for it is "partial small subunit ribosomal RNA". The record is from RNAcentral. Lineage: Eukaryota; Viridiplantae; Streptophyta; Magnoliopsida; Poales; Poaceae.
AUGAAGCGGCGCAGGCAGGCGGACCGCCUGAGCGCUCUCCCGGACGAGAUGAUCCAGCACAUCCUCUCCCAGCUCCCGUCCGAGGAGGCCGUGCGCACCAGCGCGCUCUCCCGCCGAUGGCGCGACGUCCCCGCCCGCGUCACCACCGUCGACCUCGCCGACCCCGCCAAAGGCGAUUAUACGCGUAACAAUAUGAGCGAGGACCUCGACCUCCCGGUCUGCUUUGCCCACAAGGUGACGGGGGCGAUCCUCGGCAAGGCCCCCUCGGCGCCCAUCCGCACCCUCCGCCUCGACGUCUUCAACCCGUCACACGACCUGCUCGACCAGUGGAUCGGCUCCGCCGUGUCCUCCGGCGCUGAGGACAUCGACGUCAAGCUCAGGUACAGUCAACUCUCCCGGCGCAGGCUCUGCCCCUACGGCUCUUCGGAGAGGGCCUCCUCGGACUUUGAAAUCUACGAACGGAACGGCUAUACCAAGACGCAGAACCAUCUAUUCCGGUGCCGCACGCUUCGCCGACUGCGCCUCACCAACUGGAGGCUCGACCUGCAAGGAACCGUCUCCAUGGCGUCCCUGGAGACGCUCUGCCUCGCCAGGAUCAUGGACCCCAAAGGGCUGCUACAGCACCUGCUCUCCAACUGCCCGCGCCUCACUGACCUGACGCUACAGGAGUGCCCGAGUCUCACGAAAAUCACGGUGGCUAGCGCCCACCUGCGGAGUUUCGCCAUGAUCUGCUGCCACCAUGCCAGCCGCAUCAAGCUGAGCAGCUCCUGCCUCCGGUCGCUGCACUACAAAGGUGGCCUUCCUUGCAAGUCGCUCUUCAAGCUCGCAAACCAUGCCGGAGUCGUGGCGCUGAGAAUUGAAAUCUGUGAAGACCUCUCCAGAAAAGAACCAACAGAAUUUGCUCCGGCCGCUAAGCUCAUCAGACGGUGUACCAAACUGGCGUACCUUCACCUUUCCUUCCGCCCAUCAAUGGAUUACUAUAGCAGCUUGAUCAAAGUCAAACAUGUGGCGCCCUGCAUAGAGCAUCUUAGGCAGUUGGGCCUCCGGUGCUGCCUGCGCGACCAUCACGACAUCCGGUCAGUUGCCGUCUUGCUUUGUCACACCCAGAACUUGGAAGUGCUGUCGAUGUUUCCUAUGGUUCCUGAGACUCCAAAGGAGUACUCGUCUGAUAGCGAAUCAGAUAUCGAGCUUGAGAACAGCGUCGUUGAGGAUCGGGUCGACUAUAGUAGCCAGGUGACCGAUAGUGGUUUCUGGCCAAUGCAGAUCAGGUGCUUCGAUUAUAAGCUGAGAAGAAUCAACAUUGCGAUGUACAGAGGGCUGCAACUCGAAAAGAUGCUUGCAAAGUUUCUACUUUCAAAGGCUGCAGCUUUGGAGGAAUUCUCGGUGACCUUAACGGCUGGAUGUUCCCAAACUCUCGAUCUCCUUCAUGAGCUCAGCCUGCAACUCGGACGGCACCUUCUUCACAAACAUGACACGCUUCCUUUCAAGCACAAGCGCAUUGCGGAACAGCAGGCUGGCCAGCACCCUAUGCUGCACGUCACACCGGUAGUUAACCAUGUUGACCUCCUUCACUCGAUGGCGCAAGCACCGCAUGGAAAAACUCAACCGGCUGGGAACUCUGAGCUCCACAAGACCAUCCAAGGACUGAUGGUACCGCUCCUGAUCAUCAUCUACGCCUCUUCUGUUGAACCGCCCCGGGUACAUGGCCUCCUCCUCCUCUUCCUCCUCCUCCUCCUGAUCAUCAUCCAAGGACUGAUGGUACAGUUCCUGAUCAUCAUCUUCCUCUUCCUCUUCCUCUUCCACUUCCUCUUCCUCUUCCUCUUCAUCCUUUUGUCUUCCCAUGUUGAGCGACAGAACCUCGAGGUCGGCGAGGCGGGGACACAGCCCCAGAUGAGUUUUUGGAUGGUUUCGACGGAGUCACCGCCAAGGAUGCCUGUCAGGCGCAGCGCUUCGAGGAAAGCGGCUGUUGCCAAUGCGGUGUUUGCAAAUCGCGCCCAUGAGGAAGCGAAGGUCGAGGUGGAGCUCCUUCUCGGCGUGACGCAGCACGUCGAAGAGCCACUGGUCGACCACGACCUUGUCCCAAUUGUUGUAGUUGUCAAGGCGAAGCGGAGGCUGCGCAGCGGCACGGGGAACCGCCGACCCGAAAAUUCCUAUCGAACUCCCGCGCGCACCAGCGCGCUCUCCCGCCGGUGGUGCGACGUCCCCGCCGGCGUCACCGUCGUCGACCUCGUGGACCACAAGAAAGGCAAUCAGCAUAGAAGAAGUGCCGCCGCCAAGGACCUCCCGAUCUGCUUCGCCCACAAGGUGACGGGUGCCAUCCUCUGCAAGGCCCCCGCGACGCCCAUCCGCACCUUCCGCCUCGACUCCCGCCACCUGCCGGCCGACGAUCUGCUCGACCAAUGGAUCGGCUCCGCCGUGUCCUCGGGCGGCGAGGAGAUCGACGUCAAGCUCAGGUACGGGCACUUGUCCAGGCGCAGGCUCUGCCCCUACGGCUCGUCGGAGAGGGCCUCCGCGGACUUCGAAAUCUACAAACGGAACAGCUAUACCAAGACGCAGAACCAUCUCUUCCAGUGCCGCAGUCUUUGCCGCCUGCGCCUCACCAACUGGACGCUCGACCUGCACGGAACCGUGUCCAUGGCGUCACUGGAGCAGCUGCUCUCCAACUGCCCGCGCCUCGCUGACCUGACGCUGCAAGAGUGCCCAGGCGUCAGCAAGAUCUCGGUGAACAGCGCCUUCCUGCGGAGCUUCGCCAUGAUUUGCGGCCAACAUGCCACCUGCAUCGAGCUGCGCAGCUCGUGCCUGCAGUCGCUAUACUACAAAGGCGACCUUCCUCUCGAGUCCCUCUUUAAGCUUGAAAACUACCAAAGAGUCGUGGCUCUGAGUAUUGAAAUCUGUGAGGACCUUUCCAAGAGGGAAUCGGCGGAUGUUACUCCGGUCACAACACUCAUCAGCUAG